RNAcentral lists this long non-coding RNA (5086 nucleotides) under Ananas comosus (pineapple). RNAcentral describes it as "long non-coding RNA (ACOM_LNC009740)". The record is from RNAcentral. Lineage: Eukaryota; Viridiplantae; Streptophyta; Magnoliopsida; Poales; Bromeliaceae.
GGAAAGGGGAGGAGAAUUCAUUGCUUUCUUCCUAACUCCUCUCUCUGAUUAGGGUUUUGAUUAAAAAACCUCUAAGAAAGAGAUUUGAACACAGGAUCCAAGAUCCAAAGUGCAUCACAGAAAGCCAUAGCCUUUUCUUUCAAUAGGUUCUUUUGGCUCGCUAUGAUGCAGACAUCUCUCUCUCUCUCUCUCUCUCUCUCUCUCUCUCUCUCUCUCUCUCUCCUUUUAACUUCUAGAGAGCUCCAUCACCUCCACUCAUCAUCUUUGGCCGACCCGACCAGAAUCUGGCCAAAUAGUGCCAAUCUCUUCAAUCUCUUCUUGUCCUUUACAUAGGUUUUCCUUAGUACUUUGGUAGUUUAUUCUCUCCAACUUUUGUUUCCUACAAUCACCAAGAUACUAUUGAAUUUUAUUGGAUUUUUGUGAUUUAAAACUUGUUAAGGCCUUUUGGGAGCCCGAUUAUUAUUAAUGGGCUUUGCUUGGAAAUCCAACUUAAGUUUCCAUAUGUGAGGUUAAGUCCCACAUUGAAAACUAAAAGUGUUGUUGGCAUAUAUAUAUAUAUAUUCCUUUAUUCUUAAGCAACUUGCUUGAGAGAAAAUAAAAGUUAUGCUCUCGUUUAAACAUACACGCACGAGCCAGGCCGGGCCGAGUGGGCGGCGGCAACGCGCGCAAUCCAUACACCCAAUUUAUUUAUUUUUUUUUAUUUUUUCGGUUUUAUUUUUAUCUUUAUCCUAAUCCUAAUCCUUAUCUGUAUAAUCAUAGGCUUAUCUUAUUCUACACGGAUUGAAGCAAGAAACUUGCCUUUGUUAUAAAUAUUGGAGGAGGUUGUUAGAUGUAUACCCUAGAAGCCAACCAGGCCGACACAUGUAUUCUUUCUAGGAUAUAAAUUUGUAUUUGACUUUAAAUUAUUAUGAAUAAAUUUGGGUUCUUAUUUCCAUUCAUGUUGUGUAUGUGACCAUGAAUCGUCCAAGGAAUUAAUAAGAUGAUGACAUAUAUUCUCAAAAGUUGAGAAUUUGAGACAUGUGUCAUUCGUGGUUAAUUCCUAAAUGCUCCCGAUCAAUGGAUAAUCACGGGGACGGUGAUUGAUCCGAUGAGAUUGGUACAUAGGUCGCUUCCUUUUUGGGUAGAUGGGUCUCGAGUCGACAGUGUGGGGACACUGAAGCGAAUAUGCAGGUGGUUGUUAAAGAACGAGGGUACCGAGCGUGACCAUCGUGAGAAGUCACUUGGAUGUCUACUCACUCGUCAGUGACUUACUCAAUGUUGCAGUAGUGUGACUGGUCUUUUGACUUGCGGUGCCUCGACUACUCACAAUGAGGUUACUGUAGUUUGACUGUACAUACACUUGGUCCCUAGUCAUUCGGGUCCUUGCGGUGCAUGUUGGCUGCAGUAGGUUCAUUGUAGGAAUAGGGUGUGCACUUAGAUGGUAUCUAUCUCCCUUGGUAGAUAGGGGUGUUAGUCCUAUAUGAUUUAUGAGACCGAGCUUAGAAGACCUUGGCCAGGGCAGAGAUAAUAGCGGAAAGGGAUUUCCGAUAUUAGAAACUCGAGUCGAAUAAAUUUAACAUAUGACAGACGAUGGGGUUUGACGAGUUAUUCCAUAACCUCCGUCUAGUCGGGACUCAUGAUAGAAGGAUUGUAUCACACGGUAACUGCACCAAGAGGUUCAGUAUUCCAUUCUACUGGAAUGCCACUACAUGCUGCUAGGCGUCACUGGUGGAUUGUGAGACUCAUGAGAAUUAUCUAGAUGAUCGAUAAUUCUCAUUGGGCUGAGUUGGAAUUGUUCUAAUCCAUUGAAAGGAGUUUCAGUGAUAUUGUUGAUAGUGAUCAAAAUAUAUCUCACUACCAGAUAGAAUAGAACCUAUGGGGUCACAUACAUAAGAGGUUGUGAUUUAUCGAAUAGCUAGAUCGCGAUUAUUGUAUCGUCGGAUGACCUAAUUGUCAAUAUGUUGAUAAUUGGACUAAUUUAUAAUUAUUACAAAUUAGUGGUAUUAAAGUGUAAAUGUUACAAGAGAGGACUUACUAAUAGUUAGUAAAUUAUAAGAGGACUUAUGUGCAAAUGUUGCAUUAUUAAUUUGAUAAGAUCAAAUUAAUAUAAAAUUCAAGUCGAAUCAAAUUAGGAUUUGAUCGAUCUAACCAAUUAAGGAAAUGAUAAAUUUAAAUCUAGAUUUAUACUUAUUCUUAAUUGUCAUUAUAUUAUUAGGAAUAGGAUUAUAUUCCUAUAUAUAAUAUACGGGAGUUUUUAGAAAACCCUAGCCGUCAUAUCUCUUCUCCUCUCUCCUCCAUCUUCUAGCAAGAAAGACAUCCUUUGCAAGGGAGCUAGCACCCUGGUGAGGAAAUCGAUCAAAUCAAGAACCUCGUGUGGAUACCUAUAGAGGCCGGACGCGUGUGCGGCUUCAAGAGAAUCCGAUUCCACGAUCAUCAAAGUUGAGGUGAAGAUCUAUCCGCGAAAAAGGUAAAGAUUCGAUCUUGCUUUUCUCCUUUAAUCUUAAAGAACAUGAGGGAUCCUAAUUGCGUGAUUUUUGAGAUUGGAUCUCGAGAGUUUUCAAAAUCAAAUUUGUUUGAUUUAUUUUUCCACUGCGUUUUACAGUACGCAAUUUUCUAACAGUUGCGUGAGUUCGAUAAGAACCGACGCAUACCUAAGAGAAAAACCUACCAUCUACCUCGUUUUUUCUGCUUUCCCGUCAUUAAUCUUUUUCGCCGACUUUCGCCGAGCUUUCGUUACUGGAUCUGAACCUUGUUGGAUUCAUCUUGCGCCACCUUGAAAGCAUGCCGACGGGGUGGAACGUGGUCGUUGUAUCGCUAGAAGUAAUUGCCGAAAAGCCUUGCACAUGAAUGGGCAAUUUCGCUUCUAGGACAGUGCUCUACACAUCUCGAUCAACAGACCUUAUCUAAACUUUUUCUUUACAGUAUUUGUUGUUUUUUUUCUUUCUCAGAAUUUUUUUAAACCUUAAAUUAAACUUUCAAAUUGUUUUACGAAAUAUUUUAAUAAAAGAUCAGAAAGAAUUUUCCAACAUAUACAUAGUUUUAUUUAUUUCAAUUCUAUUGAAGAUCCUAUUUGAGUUUCAAAAGUAUCUUCAUCAUGGCGUAUAGGAUGGGAUCAUCUAUUUCAGAACUAUUCUGAGCUUAGGUUGAUAUCCUCGUCAAGCUCAAGUGCAAUGGUCUUGGUUCUGGUCUUUCCACAAUGGUCGUCACCAGAGAAGGGCCCCACGUUCUACCUAUUAUAUGACCUUAACUUAGGACUUAAUUAAGCCCCCACGUUCUACCUAUUAUAUGACCUUAACUUAAGUUAGAACUUAUCUCAUAUCAAUUGAGACGAUCCGACUCACUAGCAAUACUAUAUGACCCUAAGACAAUCAAGACUUAUCUCAUACCAACUGUAACGAUCCAACCCUAAAACAAUCAAGACUUAUCUUAUACCAACUGUAACGAUCUGACUCAUUAACAAUAGUAACUCGUUAGGCCCAAAUUAUCGGCCUACAAAGCGUAAAGUUCGUAUUAUUAUUAUUAGAGUGUGUGACCUCUAAUAUUCUUAAACACAAUUUCUUUCUCAUUCGAUGUGAGAUUAUUGGAGUAUUACAUUACGAGAGUUUAUUCUUUCACGUUUGCUUGUCUUAACCUUUUUCUAUGUACUUUCUUUACAGCUUCUUGGACUUUUAUGCCAUGAGCUUGAUUAUUUAUUAAUUUAGGUAUUUAGGAUGGAGAAGUAAUCUAUAUCUUCCUCACCUUUCUUUUUCAGAGGCCGUCUAUUCUGUCUUAUCCUUAAUCACGUUAUAGUUUUAUUUAUUUCUCCUUUUUAAAUUAUUUUUAUGGUAUUCAAGUUUUACUUGUAAUGAAAUUUCUACAAACCUUUCUUAAACAAAUAUUUAGUUUUCUUAAAAAUAAUAAAGUGAGAAUUUUUUUCAUAGAAAAUAGCCAACAUGCACCGUCCUCACACACACACACACACACACACACACACACAUAUAUAUAUAUAUAUAGAGAGAGAGAGAGAGAGAGAGAGAGAGAGAGAGAUUUGGCAAGGCAGGCUAAGUCAUGGUCAUUGGACAAUGAUAGGAAUUUGACUCACUCUCAUCAUGAUUAUUGUUUGUUAAAUAAUUACUCCUACUCUAAAUUGAAUACAUCCAUCAAAGUUGGUUACAUUAUUUGCAUAUUCAUUGGUUAUCUGCUAUUGAGACAUGCACUUAUGUCACCAUCUAAAAAGCUAUGCAAGUUUAUUUCUUGGACCCCCUACUCUCUAAAAAAGAGUAGCAAUUAAUGUUGCUUUAUAUUCUCAGUUGAGCUCCUAUGCUUUUAAAAAUACCAGAGCAUUUGUAUUUGUGAUUUUUUAGCCAUCUAAUUAUUUUAAGAUCCAUACAGCACUACUAACAAUAUAUUUCAUUAAGUCUUCUUUAUUAGUGUUGUACAGAUUUUGAGGCGAUCUGACGGCUAAAAAAUUACACUUGUACUUUUAAAAACAUAUAUUGGAGCUCAAGUCUUAUACUCUAAGACAAGCAAAUAUAAUCUUUAUUAUAUUCUCCGCUAUUGUGCUUUUUUAGGUUAAAAGGAUGGAGAUUCACUCAACCAAAAGCCAUUCUUAUUUAGGCUUUUAUUAAAAUUUAGUCGGUUAAGUUAUAGAUUUCAUUAAAAUAAACUUCUAUCUAUUUUGAUUUGAAUCAUUAGCUAUAUAUUUAUCAUUAACUAGUUUGACAAAAAACUAAUUAGAGCCAUAAAAUUUGGCAAAAUUACUGAUUAAUUUGAGGAACUAACUCAGUUUACUACAAUUAAUACUCAACCCAGUGAGAGUUGAGGCAUAUCAAUAAUAUAUAUAUAUAUAUAUAUAUAUAUAUAUAUAUAUAUAUAUAUAUAUAUAUAUAUAUAUAUAUAUAGAGGUUUGGACCUGGGCUACUAUAUAGCAAAAUUCCAUUGUUGCUACCAGUAUUUUACCUUUGGAUCAACUCAUUUCAUUAUUUUAACCAUUGGAUUAAAUACAUAACCCAGUGGGACCACUCAACCCUAGGGGGACCACUCAACAAUAACGACUAAUAUCAUCCUGACCUACAAAUUUCAUCCAGGGUUAAAAACUUGAUAGCAAAAAGAACGUACUAUUACAUAG